UUCCCUGUGGAACUGCUCUUAAUUAAACUUCGUUAAUAAUUAAGCAAUAAUGUUUACCAAAACUGGCAAUGGGGUUAAUAAGAUAGAGGAUAUCAUCAGCGUGGAUUGGAGAGCAAGUUGGAUCUCCACGUACAAAUGCACGUGUAAUAGUAUGAACUAACGAUAAGAUUGAUUUUUCAUAAAUUUUUGUGUUAUAACACAAAUUAGAUUAAUAGCAUCACGCGACGUUAUUAACAUAAAACUUCUCCUUCUUGUUACCAUUUUCUGCUUAAGCAUCUGGUACAUGUAUUAAUAUUGCACCACUACUCUCAUUCAAUUAUAUUCUAUAAUUCUAUAACAAGACUAUUAGAGAAACUUACAUCUAACGAGUUUACCGUCAUAUGACAUUAUGAUCUAAUGCAUUGUUAUGUAUAAGUUAUAUUCAAGGGACACUUUGGAUGCGGUCCCUAGCUAUCAAUAUUCUUUGAUUGAAACAUUGUUAGUUUUUAGUUUUUGAUUGAGGUCUUUGACAUUAAUGUAAUAAUGUAAGUUACUAUAUUUUUUUAAUUAAUAAUUAAAAAUUGAAAUUUGUAAUUGUUUAUAUUAAUGAGAUUUUAAAUAAAACCCAUAAUUUAUGGGAUUAAAAAUAAUAAAAUAUAAAUUAUACUCUCUAUUAUAUUGUGUGUGUGUGUGUGUGUGUAUAUACAUAUAUGUAUGGGUACAUUAACCAAAAUUAACAAAAAAAGUUAUUGUACCAAAAC
RNAcentral lists this long non-coding RNA (740 nucleotides) under Malus domestica (apple). RNAcentral's name for it is "long non-coding RNA (MDOM_LNC007029)". Lineage: Eukaryota; Viridiplantae; Streptophyta; Magnoliopsida; Rosales; Rosaceae. The record is from RNAcentral.